Molecule: long non-coding RNA, 830 nt
Organism: Zingiber officinale
Lineage: Eukaryota; Viridiplantae; Streptophyta; Magnoliopsida; Zingiberales; Zingiberaceae
Exons: 3
Source: RefSeq, a predicted model, not a curated record
CUUCUUCUUUCUCUUUUUCCUCGCCGUUGCUUCCUCCUCCGCGUGCCCAACUUCACCCGACGGCGUCUUCUCUUUGUCCUAACCGCCCUAACCGGCUUCCCCCUCAUUCCACUUCAUCUCCUUCUCCUUCCCUUCCUGCGACGCCGACGCCACAUCUCUUCCUUCUUCCUCCCCGAGCCCUAAAUUCCCCUUUUUCUCAACCACUUCGCCGAGCGACAGUGUUGAUCGCGGCUAUUGCCGAGCCCCCAUCGCCGCUGUGCCCUCUUGCGCCGCCGCCCCUCUCGGCCGGAGGCCACCUUCAAGCCGCGGCCUGGGUCAUCAAUCAGCCCCUCUUACUGCGCUGUGCCCUAGAUCUUUGCCGUCGGCCACCGCGAGCCCUAGCUGGCCAUCGGCGCCCGUCGUCCCUUUGCCGUGGAGAUCCUCACAGCCACCACCCCUCUCCGAUCUCCUCUGUGCCAGCCACCAGGUUCGACCCAGCGCUGGCUGCCGGCUGAUUUUCUGUGCCCUAGGCGCUGCUGUGAGGUUUGAGCCGACCAACAGAUUCACUGCCGCCACCGUCGGCCAAAUUCCCUCUCCUGUGCAGCUGAUCUAGAGCAACUACUGCCGUGCUUCUACUUUGUGUGUCGCCGGGAGUCGAGAGCUCGAGAAGGCGACAGAGGGCAGCAGUGAUUCGGCAGUGGGAUUUAAGAUUCAUUUCGCUGGUAGUGUAUCGGGGUUCCACAGCAGCUGUGAUUUUUCCGGCCAUAAUUUUCAGCAACAUCCUUGCUGUGAGAAGUGAGGACUUGACGAGACGAGUAUCUCAGAGUCAGAUUUGGAUCAUUUUAUCGGAG